Non-coding RNA from Mycena epipterygia, 99 nucleotides. The record is from the annotation of a GenBank genome assembly. NCBI's taxonomy places the organism in Eukaryota, Fungi, Basidiomycota, Agaricomycetes, Agaricales, Mycenaceae.
GGGCAUAUGGUGUAGAUGGUUAUCACGCCCGCUUAGCAUUUCUGCUUUAGACGCCGGAGUGGUUGCGGGAGGUCUGGAGUUCAAGUCUCCAUCUGUCCA